UGGGAUAUAGCAUAAGGUAAUGUAUUUCGCUUACACUGAAAUGAUGGGUCUAAGGAUGGCCCUGUCCCA
RNAcentral lists this transfer RNA (69 nucleotides) under Omphalius nigerrimus. Its description in RNAcentral is "tRNA-Val". It matches the Rfam family "tRNA". From Rfam's summary of the family: Transfer RNA (tRNA) molecules are approximately 80 nucleotides in length. Their secondary structure includes four short double-helical elements and three loops (D, anti-codon, and T loops). The record is from RNAcentral. Lineage: Eukaryota; Metazoa; Mollusca; Gastropoda; Trochida; Tegulidae.